AGGUGCAGAGAGUCGACUCCGCAUAAAAUAUGAUGGAUCCACUGACAAAGUCUCUCAACCAGCAGAAGAUCGAAGCUCACCUUGAAAAGAUGGGUUUUAGAUUUAUGGUCAAUUGGUUUUAGGUCAAGUGGGAGUUUGUUAGAUAUGUAUCCUAGAAAGUCAAUUGUUGGCUGACACAUUUAUAUUUUCAAAACUUAUAUUUGAACUUGUAAAACUUUUAUUAUUAAUAAA
RNAcentral lists this long non-coding RNA (231 nucleotides) under Elaeis guineensis (African oil palm). RNAcentral's name for it is "long non-coding RNA (EGUI_LNC074748)". Lineage: Eukaryota; Viridiplantae; Streptophyta; Magnoliopsida; Arecales; Arecaceae. The record is from RNAcentral.